UGUAGUGAUUAUUCCUCUGCAAACACUUUAGAAUUUGUCUGAGCACUUCUUGUGAUUAUGGCAUCUGCUAAUUACCGUUGAAUGUAUGGAAGAGAUAGGUGGUCAAGAAGUUAGAAAUGACAAUAGAUGUUGUCAGGAUCAAACACUUACUCCCCGUCAAAAGUUAUAGCUAGUGGGGAAGGUGCAACUUUAUUUCUUUAUAUUCAAGCACGCCAUGUUCUGAAUCUAGGCUUGGUGGCAAUGCCCUCGAGGCCUCAGCCUAACACAUGCUUGUUUCUUGAGUUAUUAGCAAUUCCACAUGAAAUGCCAUACAGAUUAUUAUGCUAACAGACUGAGAUUUUGGUUGCAGAGAUAAGUUUCUCCAAAUUUUUUAAGAGUGGCCUAGUUGAAUAGAGAUCUUCAAGAUUGAACUUCCCGAAAGACUAUAAAUGCAUACACUCUAGAUUGAAAGACAGAGGAAACACCUGAAUUAUAUGCUGAAACUUCUUUACAAAAUUUAUUUAUUUCUCUGAUAGCUCAAAAACAAUAAAUUCAGUUGACUAUGGUUUUUUUUUUUUUUUUAAAUAAUGUUCGCUAACAUGUUGUUCUCGCUUGUUGGAAGAUGAGGCAGCUGACCUACCUGCAUAAGCCUGGAAGGCUGGAAAGGAGAGUGGGUUACUAACUGCUUCAACAAACAACAGGCUGGAAUGUCUUGAACAUCUUCUCUUGCUAAAAUUUGCGACUUUUUUUGGCCAACUCUGCAUUUCUCUUAUGAAAACUUACUCUUACACAUUCUAAUAUGCUGCAUAUGAAACUGAUGACAUCAAAAAACACGAGAUUUUUGCACAUGCAAUGGUUAAACCGUGACAUUUUAUGAACUGUACUGACAGUGUUGGUUCGAUUGCUUGAUUCACAGCAUUUGAACUGGAGAUUCAGCGGGUAGAUAUGCCAAGCGGGAUUUCUGUUCUGUUAUUCCAUGGACAUCAUCGACAGUUACCAUCACCUUGGUUGUUGCAAUGGGGACCUUUGCAUGGUAGUGUUAAUUUUAGGGUUUGCAGACCCCAAAUUCGAGUGCCCCACCUAUUCUUUACCCUAGAGUCUCGCUGUCUCGGUGAAGGAUGUAAACACGGGAUAUGCCUCAACAUCAUCAGGCUCCCCAAAGCGUCCGCCCACUCGCUCAGUUGGUCACAGGGGUGAAAUUUGAGAAGAAAGAUCAGGGAUCGAGUCUUUUACCAUUGAACAGUCAUCCAUGACACACAAUGUUUACUUCAAAAGAGAUAAGUUUGAAUUGAUUUUCCAUCAUUUUUGGCAGUAUUGACACUUAAAUUGUUCUCCCCCACAUUGGCAUAUUAUCUGUUAAGACUGGACAAGAGAGGUUGCUUGCUUGCAUGAUUUUCUGCCUGUAAAUGGUGGCCAAAUCCUUUGUUUUGAUUGUAUCUUUAAAACUCUCUCUCUCCUGGGCUCCAUCUGGGGAUAAUUCUUUGGAAGCUUUUUAAACAAAUGGACAACAAUUCCUUAGCUGGGGAGAUUUUGAUUAAA
Molecule: long non-coding RNA, 1518 nt
Organism: Ipomoea triloba (trilobed morning glory)
Lineage: Eukaryota; Viridiplantae; Streptophyta; Magnoliopsida; Solanales; Convolvulaceae
Exons: 3
Source: RefSeq, a predicted model, not a curated record